UGGUUGAAAAGCCAGUGGCGC
Molecule: non-coding RNA, 21 nt
Filed under: Arabidopsis thaliana (thale cress)
Lineage: Eukaryota; Viridiplantae; Streptophyta; Magnoliopsida; Brassicales; Brassicaceae
Source: RNAcentral